AUGUCCUGACGGCUGGCGCUUGCUUGUCUUGCGUUUCAGCUCUGACGGAUGCUUUUAUUAGACCAAGCCGCUGAGGACUUGAGGGUUUCUGCCUUCUUGUUCGACUCGUGUGAUGGUGACUCUGGAUAACCAAUUAUGACAAGCGCACGUACCCCUCUUCUGAGCGGGACGGCGCUGCCACUUUCGAGUGUCUGCCUUAUCAGCUAUCAACCGUUCGUUAUGCGCGACCGAUGGCUUUGACGGGUAACGGGGAAUCAGGGUUCGAUUCCGGAGAGGCAGCCUGAGAGACGGCUACCACGUCCAAGGACGGCAGCAGGCACGCAAAUUACCCAAUCCCAGCAAAUGGGGGAGGUAGUGACGAAAUCUAACGAUGCGGGCGCCCUUUCUGGGGCCCCGCAAUCGGAAUGGGCACUUUCUAAACAACCUGUUGAGAACCUACUGAAGGGCAAGUCUGGUGCCAGCAGCCGCGGUAAUUCCAGCUUCAGCAGCAUCUAUUAAAGUUGCUGCGGUUAAAAGGCUCGCAGUUGAAUGUCUGUAUCGAGCGCAGGUCAGGUGGACGUUGGGGCGUGGAAGUACGGGCAGUUGGAUGUGCGGUCGGCCUCGCGCUUGCCGCCUCCUUCGGCUUUUCCACACACCCCCGUCCGUGACAAGCCUCCUCGCUCGGGUACAUAACGGGAAUCGGUCAACGGAGUGUGGGGUUUCCCUGCGGGCGGUGUGCGUGCGUUGGGGUUAAGCAAGGGGGGUGCUCACGCGCCUUUCCUCUUCGCUCCGCGUGCGUGUCUCCUGUCCGUGUUGUGGGGCCCUGCGUUAAGCUCCAUCGGUUUCACGGUCACCUUGAGUAAAUCAGAGUGCUCAAAGCAGUCGUAGGGGCCUUGCGCCCUGUGAACAGUCUUGACGGACUGACUUGGUUUUGCAUGGCAUGUCGGAAGACGACGUCGUGUGCUGGCUCAGAGGAUAAAUCAGUGGUACAAGCCAGCCUCGACGUAAUGAUUAAAAGGGACGGUCGAGGGCAUUGGUAUUGCGAGGCGAGAGGUGAAAUUCUGUGACCCCCGCAAGACCUCCUGAAGCGAAAGCGUCUGCCAAGGACGUUUUCAUUAAUCAUGAACGAAAGUUAGAGGAUCGAAGGCGAUCAGAUACCGCCCUAGUUCUAACCCUAAACGAUGCCAACCAUCAAUCCGCGCGUAGCACCCUUCUUAACGGGCUCGGCGGGCAGCUCCCCACUCACGGGAAACCAGAGCCUCUGGGUUCCGGGGGGAGUCUGGUUGCAAAGCUGAAACUUAAAGGAAUUGACGGAAAGGCACCACCAGGCGUGGAGCCUGCGGCUUAAUUUGACUCAACACGGGCCAUCUCACCAGGCCAGCACUCUUGUACGAUUGACAGAUUGAGAGCUCUUUCUCGAUUCAGUGGAUGGUGGUGCAUGGCCGUUCUUAGUUGGUGGAGUGAUCUGUCUGGUUAAUUCCGAUAACGAACGAGACUCUCCCCUGCUAUCUAGUCGGUUGGAUCUUGAUCAGUGGGUUGCGUGCCGAGUAGCUCUCGCUGCGUGAUGUGCGCGCGCGCGCGCGCGUGCGCUCCCGUGUGGUGCGCUCGUUUAUAGUGUGUUCGGGGCAACCUGCACAUGUGGGGGCGGGUUGCUGCGCGGUGCGUGUGUCGUGUGUGUGUGUGUGUUGCGUUGGCGUUGGACGCCUCGGAUCACACUGCACCCCAAGUCCGCCGCUCAUGCUAUAACUCUUCUUAGAGGGAUUCACGGCACUGAAGCCGUAAGAGACUGAGAGCAAUAACAGGUCUGUGAUGCCCUUAGAUGCUCUGGGCCGCACGCGCGCUACAAUGCCGGGCACAGCAGGUGUUUCUCCUGCUCCGACAGGAGCGGGUAACCCUCUGAAAGCCAGUGUUUUUGCAAGUGCUUCCUCCCUCGUGGAGUUGCACAGAGGCGUGCUUGGGCCUGGGACUUGCAAUUCUUUCCCACCAACGAGGAAUGCCUAGUAGCGGCGGGUCACUGAGCCCGCUGUGACUCAGUCCCUGCCCUUUGUACACACCGCCCGUCGCUACUACCGAUUGGGUGUACCAGUGAGAGCCUUGGACUGGCGUCCGUUGUUGCUUUUGUGA
This 2103-nucleotide ribosomal RNA is filed under the name Echinogammarus zebrinus. RNAcentral describes it as "partial 18S ribosomal RNA". It matches the Rfam family "Eukaryotic small subunit ribosomal RNA", at positions 174 to 1736 of the family's 1831-position model. The record is from RNAcentral. Lineage: Eukaryota; Metazoa; Arthropoda; Malacostraca; Amphipoda; Gammaridae.